CAUGUCUAAACUCAAUACUAUAAAUGUUCAUGUUAAAAUCUGUAUUACUCUUAAUAUUAUUUGUUUAUUAACAAUUCAUAUUUAUUUUUUUCGUAGACAAAGUCAUCUGCUAAAUAAAUAAAUUGGCAUUUACAUCCAAAGUAAUUUUCAAAUGAGGAAUGCAACAAGCAAUUCAUCUUAAGGAGGAAAUAAACCCAAGGAGUCUUAGUAAUGCAAUGCGUCAGGUUAGUACAAAUGUAAUUUCAUGCAGUUGCAAAAGCUUUCCUCUAACCAAUAGCAAAGCAAAAAGGUUAGAAGCAGCAGAUAUCAUCACAUUGAAAGCAGGAAGUUCCAGUGUGAACCUGCAGAGACUCACACUAACACAGAUCUACAGCUCAGAGCACAGACAAAAUCAACACACACCUGAUCUGACCUAGUCAACAUGGAGAAACACCUGUUUCUGAUUUUAAUUCUGACUUCAGGUGUGAUGACUGCAGACCAGAUUAGGCCAAUUAAAGAUGCUGUUGUCAUAAAGGAAGAUGAAACUGUGACCCUCGGCUGCUCAUAUGAUACAAGCAGCAGUUAUGUUAGACUUUACUGGUACAGACAGUAUCCUAAUGGAAAACCUCAGUAUUUAUUAUACAAGUAUUCAGGAGGUGGAGGUGGGAGCCCCGAUGAUCGUCGAUUUCAGUCGACCCUCGUCCACAAUCCACCACAAUCAUCCACUGAACUCACUAUUACUGGUGUAACUCUGUCAGAUUCAGCUCUCUAUUAUUGUGCUCUAAGAGUAGGAGCCCAGUGAUACAAA
Non-coding RNA from Carassius gibelio (silver crucian carp), 787 nucleotides. NCBI's taxonomy places the organism in Eukaryota, Metazoa, Chordata, Actinopteri, Cypriniformes, Cyprinidae. The record is from the annotation of a RefSeq genome assembly.